UUUAUUUAUAGAAAAUUGAAGAAAUUUGAUAAUGGAGCAGGCUUUAUUUUUGGCACAAAUUGAUCUUAGGAAUACACACCAGAGGAUCAAAUAUUUUAAGCACAGAUUUUUCAAACGGAGUAAAGAAAAUACAUAUAAUCAUGCAAGAUACAUUUUUUUCUGAGAUUACAUAUCUGGGGGAGAACAUGGGGUCACACUCUAACAUGUGAAAUGUAUGGAGUCUUUAUGACACCCAGACAUGGGGUGCAGGCUUUACAUGAAGAGCUAUUCAGAGAGGAUCCGCUGGAAUCAAAUUGUCUUCCUUCUCUUUUGUCUGAAAACUAUCUUGAGUUGCUCUUCAUUCCUGAGCUCAUAAAGUGUUAUUUUAAUCCUAUGAGUGGUGGCAGCCCUAAUUUUAGAGUGCAGAGACUGAAGCUUAGAGAGGUUGACCAAGUCCCCAGAGCUUGCCCAGAUCCUAACUGGCAGAGCAGUAUUCUUCCCAGGCCUCUCCUGGCCUCCGGCCUUCAACGUCGUGACCUGCAGUGGUGAGGGUGGAUCCUGGCUCCGCGUCUGGCUCCUGCUGAUUCGGCACCCGCACACCUGGCUACACAGGUGAGCGAACCCACGGGCACCUACCUGGGCUGAGGUACAAGUAAAGUCCAGUCCCAGGGCGUCUCCUGCUGUCGUCCUCAAAGUUGUUGUUGAUGUGAAUACUUGUGAAAGCAUUUCUUCCUGACAUACUAGUCAGUUCAGGGAAAUGCUCCGAAUAAUCUGUUUUAAUUGACUUUCUUUUUAUUUUGAGACAGAGUCUCUCUGUGUCACCAGGCGCCAGGCUGGAGUUCAGUGGCGCAAUCUCGGCUCACUGUAACCUCUGCCUCCCUGGUUCAAGCAAUUCUCCUGCCUCAGCCUCCCGAGAAGCUGGGAUUACAGGCGUGAGCCACCGCCCCCGGCCUUUUAAUUGACUUUCAUAGGCCGCCUUCCCCACCCUUGGACUUCAAGGACUUCAGGCGGGUGCCGACGCCGAUCUAUCUAUUUCGAAGAUACAAAUAAACAGUCGUAAGUUUUGAAUCAUGACUUGGCCCCUGUUAUCAUUGUUUGUUUGUUUUGUUUUCCUCUAAAAUUUAUGUGUGUCGUUAGCAUUUUCUUCCCUUUGGAAAAGUUUGGGCCAAAAGUUUUCAAGGAAGGAACAUGCCCAGUCAGCCUCCUACUUAUUUGGAUUCCCC
This 1202-nucleotide long non-coding RNA is filed under the name Callithrix jacchus (white-tufted-ear marmoset). RNAcentral describes it as "lncRNA (ENSCJAG00000082169.1)". The record is from RNAcentral. Lineage: Eukaryota; Metazoa; Chordata; Mammalia; Primates; Cebidae.